Molecule: ribosomal RNA, 274 nt
Filed under: uncultured bacterium
Lineage: Bacteria
Description: partial 16S ribosomal RNA
Rfam family: Bacterial small subunit ribosomal RNA
Source: RNAcentral
AUACGGAGGUUGCAAGCGUUGUUCGGAAUAACUGGGCGUAAAGGGAGCGCAGGCGGUUUGAUAAGUCUGAAGUGGAAGCCCGGGGCUCAACCCCGGAAGGCCUUUGGAAACUGUCAGACUUGAGUUCGUGAGAGGAGAGUGGAAUUCCAGGUGUAGCGGUGAAAUGCGUAGAUAUCUGGAGGAACAUCGAUGGCGAAGGCAACUCUCUGGCACGAUACUGACGCUGAGGCUCGAAAGCGUGGGGAGCGAACAGGAUUAGAAACCCCAGUAGUCC